UCCGUCGACUUUAGAAAUCGUGAGGGUUCAAGUCCCUCUAUCCCCAAUAAACUGUCCCCA
Molecule: transfer RNA, 60 nt
Filed under: Merwilla natalensis
Lineage: Eukaryota; Viridiplantae; Streptophyta; Magnoliopsida; Asparagales; Asparagaceae
Description: partial transfer RNA-Leu
Source: RNAcentral